UAGGGAAUAUUGGGCAAUGGGCGGAAGCCUGACCCAGCCACGCCGCGUGCAGGAAGACGGCCCUCUGGGUUGUAAACUGCUUUUGAUUGGGAAGAAAGCAGCUCAUGCGUGAGAAUUUGACGGUACCAAUCGAAUAAGCCACGGCUAACUACGUGCCAGCAGCCGCGGUAAUACGUAGGUGGCGAGCGUUAUCCGGAUUUAUUGGGUUUAAAGGGAGCGUAGGCGGCUGAUUAAGUCAGCGGUGAAAGGUAGCAGCUUAACUGUUUUACAUGCCGUUGAUACUGGUUAGCUUGAGUUGACAGAAGGCAGAUAGAAUUCCUGGUGUAGCGGUGAAAUGCUUAGAUACCAGGAGGAAUACCGAUUGCGAAGGCAGUCUGCUGCAGUCACACUGACGCUGAGGCUCGAAGGUGCGGGGAUCAAACAGG
Molecule: ribosomal RNA, 425 nt
Filed under: uncultured Emticicia sp.
Lineage: Bacteria; Pseudomonadati; Bacteroidota; Cytophagia; Cytophagales; Leadbetterellaceae
Description: bacterial SSU rRNA
Rfam family: Bacterial small subunit ribosomal RNA
Source: RNAcentral